GAAAAGCUUAAGCUGAAAAGAACAUUUUGGGCAUGUGAUCUCAGACUUCUCUUCAACAACCUCAGCACAGUAAAGCAGCAUUGUAAAAAAGAGGAGAAAUAUCAGCAAUAUUUGCCACUGAGCUACAUGCUGAAACAAGUUCUGAACUUCAAAAAAUAUGAGGUUAUGCUGGACAAAGCUUCUGCUGGGACUAAAU
Mauremys reevesii (Reeves's turtle) is the source of this 196-nucleotide long non-coding RNA. RefSeq lists it as uncharacterized. The transcript has 2 exons. The record is from RefSeq and is a predicted model, not a curated record. Lineage: Eukaryota; Metazoa; Chordata; Testudines; Geoemydidae.